This 205-nucleotide non-coding RNA is filed under the name unclassified sequences. RNAcentral describes it as "ilvB-OMG RNA". It matches the Rfam family "ilvB-OMG RNA". RNAcentral also lists the same sequence under 1 other name. The record is from RNAcentral.
GUCGCGCGAACGGCAACGGUUAUCGGCGGGUACCCUCGCCCUCUGGCCUACCAUCACAACGGGAUCAGUUGUGGUGGCUGUUUGCGGGUUCCGUCACAUGCGCUUGCGCAUUUCGGGCUCGACACUGCGCUACCUCGCAGGUCACCGAUACACGGGUUCGUGAUCGUUGCUCCGGUGCGGUAGACCGGACCUUAUCCGGCCAGUG